ACAAGAAAUGUUGAUUUUUCUGUUCAUUUCUGAAAACAAGUCAAAAACACAUUGUUGGUCAAAAAGUGAUUCAAGCGCUCUGAAAAGCAUUUUGUACUCAUAAAAACAAGAAAUGUUGAUAUCUCUGUCAAUUUCAAUGCAAACGUGUUACUAAGCUUACCAAAGUGUUUAUAGGGCCAUACUCCACCAUUUGGAAGUGGAAUACAUUAGUUUUGAGCAAAAUCAACAAUGUAAGGUCAGAAACACAUUGUUGGUCAAAAAGGGAUUCUAGCGCUCUGAAAAGCAUUUGGCACGAUAAAAACAAGAAAUGUUGAUUUUUCUGUUCAUUUCAGAAAAACAAUCAAAAACACAUUGUUGGUCAAAAAGUGAUUCUAAGCGCUCUGAAAAGAAUUUUGCCGGUAUAAAAACCAUAAAUGUUGGUAUCUCUGUCAAUUUCAAUGCAAACGUGUUACUAAGCUUACCAAAGGGUAAUAGGGCCAUACUCCACCAUUUGGAAGGGGAAUACAUUAGUUUUGAGCAAAAUCAACAAUGUAAGGUCAAAAACACAUUGUUGGUCAAAAAGUGA
Molecule: long non-coding RNA, 565 nt
Organism: Gadus macrocephalus (Pacific cod)
Lineage: Eukaryota; Metazoa; Chordata; Actinopteri; Gadiformes; Gadidae
Exons: 2
Source: RefSeq, a predicted model, not a curated record